GCCCGAGUUGUAAUUUGCAGAGGAUGCUUUUGGCGCGGCGCCUUCCGAGUUCCCUGGAACGGGACGCCAUAGAGGGUGAGAGCCCCGUCUGGUCGGACGCCCAGCCUCUGUAAAGCUCCUUCGACGAGUCGAGUAGUUUGGGAAUGCUGCUCUAAACGGGAGGUAUAUGUCUUCUAAAGCUAAAUACCGGCCAGAGACCGAUAGCGCACAAGUAGAGUGAUCGAAAGAUGAAAAGCACUUUGAAAAGAGGGUUAAACAGUACGUGAAAUUGUUGAAAGGGAAGCGCUCGUGACCAGACUCGGGCGCGGCGAAUCAUCCGGCGUUCUCGCCGGUGCACUUCGCCGCGGCCGGGCCAGCAUCAGCUCGCCGCGGGGGACAAAGGCGCCGGGAACGUGGCUCCCCAGGGAGUGUUAUAGCCCGGCGCGCAAUGCCCCGGGGCGGGCUGAGGUUCGCGCGUCCGCAAGGAUGCUGGCGUAAUGGUCACCAGUGACCCGUCUUGAAACACGGACCAAGGAGUCGUCCUCGUGUGCGAGUGUUCGGGUGUCAAACCCCUACGCGCAAUGAAAGUGAACGCAGGUGAGAGCCCU
This 587-nucleotide ribosomal RNA is filed under the name Ophiocordyceps sp. RNAcentral's name for it is "partial large subunit ribosomal RNA". It matches the Rfam family "Eukaryotic large subunit ribosomal RNA", at positions 136 to 745 of the family's 3401-position model. Lineage: Eukaryota; Fungi; Ascomycota; Sordariomycetes; Hypocreales; Ophiocordycipitaceae. The record is from RNAcentral.